Molecule: unclassified non-coding RNA, 379 nt
Filed under: plant metagenome
Description: partial contains 5.8S ribosomal RNA, internal transcribed spacer 2, and large subunit ribosomal RNA
Rfam family: 5.8S ribosomal RNA (bases 1-106)
Source: RNAcentral
CGAAAUGCGAUAAGUAAUGUGAAUUGCAGAAUUCAGUGAAUCAUCGAAUCUUUGAACGCACCUUGCGCUCCUUGGUAUUCCUUGGAGCAUGCCUGUUUGAGUAUCAUGAAAUCUUCAAAGUAAAUCUUUUGUUAACUCAAUUGGUUUCUACUUUGGUAUUGGAGGUCUUUACAGCUUCACACCUGCUCCUCUUUGUUCAUUAGCUGGAUCUCAGUGUUAUGCUUGGUUCCACUCGGCGUGAUAAGUUAUCUAUCGCUGAGGACACUGUAAAAGGUGGCCAAGGUAAAUGCAGAUGAACCGCUUCUAAUAGUCCAUUGACUUGGACAAUACUUUUAUGAUCUGAUCUCAAAUCAGGUAGGACUACCCGCUGAACUUAAGC